ACCGGAACAGGUUCCGCGGCGGCGCCAGGCUUGUGGCGGCUGCAGGUUCCGGAGGCUCUCCGGCUCCCUCUCCGCCCGUCUCCCUUCUUCUCCUUGGGGGCAGGUGGAGACCUCUCAUCUACCAUGGCAUCACGACUUGCUCCAAAAGUGAAUUCCAGACAGGGAGAGUCUCAGUGCAAGGAGAAACAUGUGGUUCUGCUCAGCCCUGUGGGGAAGCUCAAGAUCUCUGGGUGUGAAAUAGGCUUGCAUGAGAUCAAACUUCCAAAGAUGAGCAUGCUGCCA
Dryobates pubescens (Downy woodpecker) is the source of this 282-nucleotide long non-coding RNA. RefSeq lists it as uncharacterized. The transcript is spliced from 3 exons. NCBI's taxonomy places the organism in Eukaryota, Metazoa, Chordata, Aves, Piciformes, Picidae. The record is from RefSeq and is a predicted model, not a curated record.